This is a long non-coding RNA of Malus domestica (apple), 1414 nucleotides long. RefSeq lists it as uncharacterized. Lineage: Eukaryota; Viridiplantae; Streptophyta; Magnoliopsida; Rosales; Rosaceae. The record is from RefSeq and is a predicted model, not a curated record.
AGAAAAACGCCUGAAUCACUGUUCAUAAGCACAGUGAAUUUCCGAUUUUGCCCUCGCUUAUUUGUCUGUAAUUUCAAUAUUAGUCUAAUUUAAAUCUGAUUGAAUCUGGACCGUUCAUUGUUUUUGGGCAGUGUGAUAAGAAAUCAGUCCAUCCAUAUUUUGUAAUCUUAUUCUCUCUGCUGAUCAUCAUUCUUCCUCUCGCUCUCUCAACAUCCCGAAAACCCCCAACCCCACCCACGAACCCAGGUACACCCAAAACAAUCACCAUUCUCAUCCCUUCGACCUCACGAACUCAAGUCUGAGCCCAUUCUUACUUUCUAGGUCAAGAUUUCGUGGCUUUCAUGUACGAUUUGGUGAAGGUUUGAAAAAGAUUGAAGCUCAAUCCGUUACCUAGAUUCCGGCGAGGUUUUCCGGCGAAUCCGCUAGCUUCCCUGUAUUUUUUGAGGCCCUCACAGUCAUCCAAUCACCAAAUCUUAGGAGUUUACAUCUGAAUCCGACCGCCUCUUCUUUCCCCCUUCACUUUCACGGUUCCACCCCAACAUCAUCGAUCUGUGUUCGUGUAGGUCAUUUCAAAGGGAUUUCAAGCUGGGUAGCAGAGAUUUGAUUCAAAUUUGUGGAUUUGGGAUGGUAACAACCCCCCGGCGGCUAAUCGCUGGACAUCACACGCCGACUUACCACCAGUGCAUCCGCGUCGUUUCGGAUAACUGUAUUUACGGAAGGGCGUUUGCCUCUAGAAGUGACUAAGCAGAGGGUCACGUAGCAGAACUUGGAUUUCAUAGAUCACAGAGAGCAGGGUGAUAGCAUCGCGCCGGCCUCACUUGCUAGUGGAAAACUAAUUUUGGAUUUGGAAUCCUUUUUCCCAACUGUGGGUUAAUGCUUUCACAAAGGUCUUUCCUAUGCGGUGGAUCUACUUGCCUCUUCAUCUAUGGCUACUGCUUGUAUUAUUAUUACGCCCGAUCAGAUAUGUCUGGCGUUAUGCAAACGUCGUUCUUUCGGUUACAUGGCUUGCAUUUGCUCCGGCUUCUUCCUCAUGCUUGGCACAGUAGGUUUUCGCGCGGCUUUGCUGUUUGUUCGUCACAUUUACAAGUCCAUCAAGUGUGUGUGAGUAGGUGGUCGGUUGAUUGUUAUGGUAAGUAGGUCCUCGUUUCUUCCUUUUUUUAUCAUAGGAAAAAGUCGUCAUUUUUGUUAGAAGGUAGGCGAAGGGUGCCGUCAGAAGCAGAGGAAGCAGCGAGCUUUCCUGAAUCAAGUCUUUCGGGCCCUCUGUUGCGCGUUUGCUUCAGGCGGUCGGAUUAUUUGGGGGAUUUUAGGGUUUGCCUCAAAUAUUCUACACUAAAUGUAUGUAAUAGAAUAGAAGCGUUAAUGUGGGGGAACAAAAGAGCUUGUUGUGUAGCCACAUUUUACCCACUCUCUGAAA